This 1137-nucleotide ribosomal RNA is filed under the name uncultured bacterium. RNAcentral's name for it is "bacterial SSU rRNA". It matches the Rfam family "Bacterial small subunit ribosomal RNA", at positions 353 to 1482 of the family's 1533-position model. The record is from RNAcentral.
AGUGGGGAAUAUUGCACAAUGGGGGAAACCCUGAUGCAGCCAUGCCGCGUGUAUGAAGAAGGCCUUCGGGUUGUAAAGUACUUUCAGUCGUGAGGAAGGGUAUGUAGUUAAUAGCUGCAUGCCUUGACGUUAGCGACAGAAGAAGCACCGGCUAACUCCGUGCCAGCAGCCGCGGUAAUACGGAGGGUGCGAGCGUUAAUCGGAAUUACUGGGCGUAAAGCGCAUGCAGGCGGUCUGUUAAGCAAGAUGUGAAAGCCCGGGGCUCAACCUCGGAACCGCAUUUUGAACUGGCAGACUAGAGUCUUGUAGAGGGGGGUAGAAUUUCAGGUGUAGCGGUGAAAUGCGUAGAGAUCUGAAGGAAUACCGGUGGCGAAGGCGGCCCCCUGGACAAAGACUGACGCUCAGAUGCGAAAGCGUGGGGAGCAAACAGGAUUAGAUACCCUGGUAGUCCACGCCGUAAACGAUGUCUACUUGAAGGUUGUGGCCUUGAGCCGUGGCUUUCGGAGCUAACGCGUUAAGUAGACCGCCUGGGGAGUACGGUCGCAAGAUUAAAACUCAAAUGAAUUGACGGGGGCCCGCACAAGCGGUGGAGCAUGUGGUUUAAUUCGAUGCAACGCGAAGAACCUUACCUACUCUUGACAUCCAGAGAAUUCGCUAGAGAUAGCUUAGUGCCUUCGGGAACUCUGAGACAGGUGCUGCAUGGCUGUCGUCAGCUCGUGUUGUGAAAUGUUGGGUUAAGUCCCGCAACGAGCGCAACCCUUAUCCUUGUUUGCCAGCACGUAAUGGUGGGAACUCCAGGGAGACUGCCGGUGAUAAACCGGAGGAAGGUGGGGACGACGUCAAGUCAUCAUGGCCCUUACGAGUAGGGCUACACACGUGCUACAAUGGCGUAUACAGAGGGCUGCCAACCAGCGAUGGUGAGCGAAUCCCACAAAGUACGUCGUAGUCCGGAUCGGAGUCUGCAACUCGACUCCGUGAAGUCGGAAUCGCUAGUAAUCGUGAAUCAGAAUGUCACGGUGAAUACGUUCCCGGGCCUUGUACACACCGCCCGUCACACCAUGGGAGUGGGCUGCACCAGAAGUAGAUAGCUUAACCUUCGGGAGGGCGUUUACCACGGUGUGGUUCAUGACUGGGGUG